AUAAGGAGUCGGACCUGCCCAGUGAAUAAUUUUAAACGGCCGCGGUACUCUGACCGUGCAAAGGUAGCAUAAUCAUUUGCCCUAUAAUUGAGGGCUAGUAUGAAUGGUUUGACAAGAAUGUAACUGUCUCUUUAUGAUUAUUUAGAAUUUUAUUUUUAGGUGAAGAAGCCUAAAUACAAUUAAAAGACAAGAAGACCCUAUCGAGCUUUAAAUAAAUUAAUGAAUUAUAAGAAAUAUUUAUUAUAAAACAGCAUUCGUUAAAAAUUUUGGUUGGGGCGACAAAGGAACAAAGAAAACUUCCUUCUUAUAUGAAUAACUAACUAGUAUUGAUCCAAAAAUUUUGAUUAAUGAAAUUAGUUACCGUAGGGAUAACAGCAUUAUCUUUUUUGAGAGCUCAUAUCGAAAAAAAGGUUUGUGACCUCGAUGUUGGACCAGAAUAUCCUAAAGAUGCAGAAGUCUUUAAGGGUUGGUCUGUUCGACCAUUAAAAUUCUA
This 493-nucleotide ribosomal RNA is filed under the name Echinophoria wyvillei. RNAcentral describes it as "partial 16S ribosomal RNA". It matches the Rfam family "Bacterial large subunit ribosomal RNA", at positions 1845 to 2598 of the family's 2925-position model. Lineage: Eukaryota; Metazoa; Mollusca; Gastropoda; Littorinimorpha; Cassidae. The record is from RNAcentral.